UUCACUAUCAAAAGCUGUGAUGUAUUCUUUAUAUCUGGUUGCCUUAAGAAUACGGAGCUAAUGGCAAACCCGGUUGAUAAUAAA
RNAcentral lists this non-coding RNA (84 nucleotides) under Candidatus Zhuqueibacterota. Its description in RNAcentral is "Candidate division c-di-GMP-II sequence". It matches the Rfam family "Cyclic di-GMP-II riboswitch aptamer". The record is from RNAcentral. Lineage: Bacteria; Pseudomonadati.